ACGGGUGCGUAACGCGUGAGCAACCUACCCAUAUCAGGGGGAUAGCCCGAAGAAAUUCGGAUUAACACCGCAUAAUAAUACGCUAACACAUGUUGAUGUAUUUAAAUAUUUAUAGGAUAUGGAUGGGCUCGCGUGACAUUAGCUAGUUGGUAAGGUAACGGCUUACCAAGGCGACGAUGUCUAGGGGCUCUGAGAGGAGAAUCCCCCACACUGGUACUGAGACACGGACCAGACUCCUACGGGAGGCAGCAGUAAGGAAUAUUGGUCAAUGGGCGCAAGCCUGAACCAGCCAUGCCGCGUGCAGGAUGACUGCCCUAUGGGUUGUAAACUGCUUUUGUUAGGGAAUAAACCUUCUUACGUGUAAGGAGCUGAAUGUACCUAAAGAAUAAGGAUCGGCUAACUCCGUGCCAGCAGCCGCGGUAAUACGGAGGAUCCAAGCGUUAUCCGGAUUUAUUGGGUUUAAAGGGUGCGUAGGUGGCUUAAUAAGUCAGGGGUGAAAGACAUCGGCUCAACCGAUGCAGUGCCUUUGAUACUGUUAAGCUUGAAUUAUGUUGAAGAUGGCGGAAUGAGACAAGUAGC
This 579-nucleotide ribosomal RNA is filed under the name Sphingobacterium sp. BvIRR071. RNAcentral describes it as "bacterial SSU rRNA". It matches the Rfam family "Bacterial small subunit ribosomal RNA", at positions 102 to 679 of the family's 1533-position model. The record is from RNAcentral. Lineage: Bacteria; Pseudomonadati; Bacteroidota; Sphingobacteriia; Sphingobacteriales; Sphingobacteriaceae.